AUUCCAGCUCCAAUAGCGUAUAUUAAAGUUGUUGCAGUUAAAAAGCUCGUAGUUGGAUUUCUGGUAGAAGUAGCGACCUUGGGUCUUUGACCUAUGAAGUUGCUAUCUUCAACCAUCCUUGAAGAGAUUUAGUUUGGCAUUAAGUUGUCGAACUAAAGAUAUUCAUCUUUUACUGUGAAAAAAUCAGAACGUUCAAAGCAAGCAUUUAGCUUUGAAUGUAUUAGCAUGGAAUAAUGAAAUAGGACUUAGGUACUACUUUGUUGGUUUAUGCACCUAGGUAAUGAUUAAUAGGGAUAGUUGGGGGUAUUCGUAUUCCAAUGUUAGAGGUGAAAUUCUUGGAUUUUUGGAAGACGAACAACUGCGAAAGCAUUUACCAAGGAUGUUUUCAUUA
This 391-nucleotide ribosomal RNA is filed under the name Actinocyclus sp. (in: diatoms). RNAcentral describes it as "Actinocyclus sp. (in: Bacillariophyta) partial small subunit ribosomal RNA". It matches the Rfam family "Eukaryotic small subunit ribosomal RNA", at positions 582 to 975 of the family's 1831-position model. Lineage: Eukaryota; Bacillariophyta; Coscinodiscophyceae; Coscinodiscales; Hemidiscaceae. The record is from RNAcentral.